This 719-nucleotide ribosomal RNA is filed under the name uncultured bacterium. Its description in RNAcentral is "bacterial SSU rRNA". It matches the Rfam family "Bacterial small subunit ribosomal RNA", at positions 8 to 692 of the family's 1533-position model. The record is from RNAcentral.
AGAGUUUGAUCCUGGCUCAAAACGAACGCUGGCGGCGUGGAUAAGACAUGCAAGUCGAGCGCGACUUUGCUGGUAACAAUAUCAGUAAUGUUGAGCGGCGCAGGGGUGCGUAACACGUGGGUAAUUUGCCGUGAAGACUGGGAUAAUCCCAAGAAAUCGGGACUAAUACCGGAUGUGGUUAAGGAGAGGUUUUUUUUUUUAACUAGGGGUGGGGACCGCAAGGCCUGCCGUUUCACAAUAACCCCGCGGCCUAUCAGCUAGUUGGUUGAGGUAACGGCUCACCAAGGCUAAGACGGGUAGCUGGUCUGAGAGGACCACCACCCACACUGGAACUGACACACGGUCCACACACCUACGGGUGGCAGCAGUCAAUAUUUUUUCUCGGUGGGGGAAACCCUGAAGGACCCACGCCGCGUGGGGGAUGAAGGGCUUCGGCUCGUACACCCCUGUCAUUUGCGAACAAGGUUUACGGUUUAACAGAUCGUGGAUUGAUAGUAGCGAAAGAGGAAGGGACGGCUAUCUCUGUGCCAGCAGCCGCGGUAAUACAGAGCUCCCAAGCGCUGUUCUUAUUCACUGGGCGUAAAGGGUGCGUAGGUGGCUACUUUAAGUUUGAUGUGAAAGCUCCGGGCUCAACCCCGGAUAUGGUAUUGAAGACUAUUGAGCUAGAUGGUUUGGGAGGGGGCGGACUGGAAAUACUUGGUGUAGCAGUGAAAUGCAUA